AGAGUUUGAUUCUGGCUCAGUUUGAACGCUGGCGGCAUGGCUAAAGCAUGCAAGUCGAACGAUAUAGUGGCGAAAGGGCGAGGAAUAGCACCGAAUGUACCCCGAGGUAAGGGAUAGCCAUUGGAAACGAUGGGUAAUACCUUAUAUGUCCAUGGAUGAAAGCUCCGGCGCCUCGGGAGCAGCGGUGUUCCUAUCAGGUAGUUGGUGGGGUAAAGGCCUACCAAGCCGAAGACGGGUAGCGGGUGUGAGAGCAUGGCCCGCCGCAUCGGGACUGAGACACUGCCCGGACUCCUACGGGAGGCUGCAGCGACGAAUCUUCCGCAAUGCACGAAAGUGUGACGGAGCAAUGCCGCGUGUGGGAUGAAGCGGCUACGCCGUGUAAACCACUGUCAGGGUCUAGGAAGAACUGACCAGACCCAGAGGAAGGGCCGGCUAAUCUCGUGCCAGCAGCCGCGGUAAUACGAGAGGCCCAAGCGUUAGACGGAAUCACUGGGCUUAAAGCGUGCGUAGGCGGAUGCGUAAGCGUGUUGUGAAAUCCCAUAGCUCAACUAUGGAACUGCGAUGCGAACUGUGUAUCUUGAGGAAGGUAGGGGUCAGUGGAACGUUCGGUGGAGCGGUGAAAUGCGUAGAUAUCGAACGGAACGCCAAUGGUGAAGACAACUGACUGGGCCUUUCCUGACGCUGAGGCACGAAAGCGUGGGGAGCAAACAGGAUUAGAUACCCUGGUAGUCCACGCCGUAAACGAUGUGCACUGGAUCGGUGCGGUUUUGACGCCGUGCUGGUCGUAGAGAAAUCAUUAAGUGCACCGCCUGGGGAGUACGGUCGCAAGGCUAAAACUCAAAGAAAUUGACGGGGGCUCACACAAGCGGUGGAGCAUGUUGCUUAAUUCGAAGCAACGCGAAGAACCUUACCUGGGCUUGACAUGCACGGAUUAGUUUUUGGAAACAGAAAUGACGCCUUCGGGUGGAACGUGCACAGGUGCUGCAUGGCUGUCGUCAGCUCGUGCUGUGAAGUGUCGGGUUAAGUCCCUUAACGAGCGCAACCCUUGUCGCUAGUUGCCAGCGCGUAAUGGCGGGGACUCUAGCGAGACUGCCGGUGUCAAACCGGAGGAAGGUGGGGAUGACGUCAAGUCCUCAUGGCCCUUACGCCCAGGGUGGCAAACGUGCUACAAUGGCAUGUACAAUGCGAUGCAAGACCGCGAGGUGGAGCAAAUCGCAAAAAGCAUGCCCCAGUUCGGAUUGUAGUCUGAAACUCGACUACAUGAAGCCGGAAUCGCUAGUAAUCGGAGAUCAGCCACGCUCCGGUGAAUACGUUCCUGAGCCUUGUACACACCGCCCGUCACGUCAUGGAAGCUGGGAGUGCCCGAAGUCGCCCUAUUUCAGGGGUGCCCACGGCAAGCUUGGUGACUGGGACGAAGUCGAACAGGGUA
This 1429-nucleotide ribosomal RNA is filed under the name metagenome. Its description in RNAcentral is "bacterial SSU rRNA". It matches the Rfam family "Bacterial small subunit ribosomal RNA". The record is from RNAcentral.